This is a long non-coding RNA of Branchiostoma floridae (Florida lancelet), 1746 nucleotides long. RefSeq lists it as uncharacterized. The record is from RefSeq and is a predicted model, not a curated record. The transcript is spliced from 5 exons. Lineage: Eukaryota; Metazoa; Chordata; Leptocardii; Amphioxiformes; Branchiostomatidae.
CCUGAACGUACUGCGCCUGCGCGAACCCUGGGACGCCAGCUGGCUGCGCUAUGGCGGCUAGAAUCGUGUCUGGCGCAUGUUUUAACAUUAUUUUUGCGUUACAAAUUGGAAAAUCAAAGAUAACUUUGCGUCUAAACGAGGUGGGAGAAGCGGGAGACUUCACUUGUUGCAAAGGUGGCCAUGGUCAUCAUCAUCUUAUAUCAGAUGUGCUGGUACAGAAGAUUGACUGUUGUAGUUUCAGGUGCCUUCGCCAUGGUUUACAAACAGCUGCGAUCCUUCAGCUUCCUGAUCCAGGCAAGGUGACCAUAUGGGUGCCUGGAACAUUUGUGUGGUACUCACUCAGCUGACUGCUACAUGUACAACUGUUCCCAGCCUGAUGGUACCAAGGUGGGGCCUUUAGCCUGCAGUAUGGACUGGACUACUGAUCCUAAAGGAUGGGUUGCUUCCUUCUGUGCAACGGAAAGGACCUGCCUACCCUGGUAGGAGCUUCCAGCUGGCUCUAUAUAGAGCUCAGGUUUAGGACAAGGAGUUCCGGCAGUAUCCCCCUGAUCAGAUGGGUUUGCAAACAAGCAUGCACCUGGCCUAUGGGACAUCCUGCUGAAAAGCAUCAGUAGACCUGACCAGCCUCAAGUACAACAACAUGGUGAAACAACGGGAAAAAAGUCGUGACCAUAUUAUACUAAACUGCCAAACAACAACUGCCUGUUUCAAGAUUGGCUAUAUUGGCAUUUUGACGUACCAUUGUAUCCUCAUGAAAGAAUAAGAAACGCCAUAAGGAAUUUUGAUAGAUGGGCAUAAAAGAAUUCUAAAUCUGAUUUUUUGGGCCAUAUGGAUGAAAUUAGCAGGUUUUAUUGCCCCUAAUGUAAUCUUUUUCUAUGAGAAAAUACAGCAUUUUGGUACAUACCACUGCAAUGAAGCUAGUUUUUCAUUUGCAUACUGAUGGAAGUUAACUAGUUAUAAAGUCACGUUUGCAGCUUUUAUCAGAAAAUGAUUUUUUUUUAGUUAGAUGAAAACAAUCAUUUUCUAAUAACUACAGAUCAUUAGCAUCUACCAUAGAUAUAGAUGGACAAGUUUGUGGGAAGAAUGCUUGUGUGCUGAUAUCCCUUCUGCUUGUGCACAGAUGUCUUUCUUUAUGUGUACCAUGGGCAAUAACAUUGUACUUGAGGGCAACAGACUGUAUGAGACGCACUUCUCCACUGGAUCUCUGUGGAUAGUUGAGGAGGCAAAUCAUGUUGUCCCAAAUCCGUUCUCAACUGUGUCUACUAAACAAGCUGUGGAAUUUGAACAUGUUCUUGCCCAAGAAAUUGGCGGGUUUAAUAGAAACACUCUAUUUAUAGGACCAAAAAGUUAAAACAAGUACAUCUAGUAAAUAUGAAAGUAAUGUAAUAAAAAAGCAUUGCAGACAUUGUGAUGGCUGAUGCCGUAAGUUGAUGUACUGAUUAAUGUUGACUUCACCUUUAGUUUACAUGACAGCCAUUAGUUUACAUGAAUGUCAGUUUGUGAAGCUAGGGCAGAUAGUGUGCAGUAUUUUGCUGUCCGUCCUGGGCAGGCUUUGGGAUCUAUAACACAAGACAUUGCUCGACUUAUUAUAAUUCAGCCUUUUCUAGCAUUAUUGUUUUAUCAUGUCAUGAUUUUGAUACUGCCUUGGCAGUUGAUAAGGGUAAUAAGGACUUUUUGGCUUGAGAUUACAUGGACGGAGGAUUUAACAUGAUUGAGAAUAAAAUAUAAAUCGUUUUUGAUGUUUCA